ACGCUGGCGGCGUGCCUAACACAUGCAAGUCGAGCGGUCCGGCAGCCAACUUAAGUUGGGAGCCGGAUAGCGGCGGACGGGUGAGUAACGCGUGGGCAACCUACCCUUAAGACCGGGAUAACACCUCGAAAGGGGUGCUAAUACUGGAUAAGCUCCUUGUAGGGCAUCCUAUGAGGAGGGAAGGUAGCGGGAGCUACCGCUUAAGGAUGGGCCCGCGUCCCAUCAGCUAGUUGGUAGGGUAACGGCCUACCAAGGCGACGACGGGUAGCCGGCCUGAGAGGGUGGUCGGCCACACUGGGACUGAGACACGGCCCAGACUCCUACGGGAGGCAGCAGUGGGGAAUCUUGCGCAAUGGGCGAAAGCCUGACGCAGCGACGCCGCGUGAGCGAGGAAGGCCUUCGGGUCGUAAAGCUCGAUAGUGUGGGAAGAAGGGAUGACGGUACCACACGAAAGCCCCGGCUAACUACGUGCCAGCAGCCGCGGUAAGACGUGGGGGGCGAGCGUUGUCCGGAAUUACUGGGCGUAAAGGGCGCGUAGGCGGCCGUUCAAGUCAGGUGUAAAAUACCCGGGCUCAACCCGGGGAUAGCACUUGAAACUGGGCGGCUA
Molecule: ribosomal RNA, 607 nt
Filed under: uncultured bacterium
Lineage: Bacteria
Description: bacterial SSU rRNA
Rfam family: Bacterial small subunit ribosomal RNA
Source: RNAcentral